RNAcentral lists this transfer RNA (76 nucleotides) under Verrucomicrobiaceae bacterium. RNAcentral's name for it is "tRNA-Glu". It matches the Rfam family "tRNA". From Rfam's summary of the family: Transfer RNA (tRNA) molecules are approximately 80 nucleotides in length. Their secondary structure includes four short double-helical elements and three loops (D, anti-codon, and T loops). Lineage: Bacteria; Pseudomonadati; Verrucomicrobiota; Verrucomicrobiia; Verrucomicrobiales; Verrucomicrobiaceae. The record is from RNAcentral.
CACCCUAUCGUCUAGUCAGCCAGGACAGCGGCCUUUCAAGCCGACAACGCGGGAGCGUAACCCGUUAGGGUGGCCA